AAUUCGGAACAGUAAGAAAUUGACAAUGAAUAAUAAAUGCAUAUAAUGAAUUGCUGUGGAGGCAAGAACAAGAGCAAAACAUGAUUUUCUUCGGUUUUCUUCCGACAUUUAAAAAAAAAAUUUUCGAAAAAGUAAACAUAUUUUUUCUUUUGAAAACACUAUUAGCAUCGUAUAAAUAUUAAUGUAAUAUAUAUUGAACGUGUAUCAGUCGGUAUUCACUCGCAAUCCAUCAAUAUCCAAUAUAGAUCGCAAAACAAAUAUCACGAUAAAUAUUGAAGCCUUAGGUUAUAGGGCCCCUACACCACACAAAAUCAUUGCACAAUAACAGACUUGUCUCGGUUGGUCCACUUUCACACGGGCAACUUUUGUUGCUAAUUCUCGGGCGAUUCUCUUUUGCUGUCGCCCCUUGCGUUCACACGAGCAAUUCUUGUUCGACAACUCUGUUCGGGUUUUUCUGUCAUUCUCUUUCAUAUAAUUUUCUCAACUUCUUGUACGCAUCGUUUCCAAGCAAAAAAAUAUAUUUCAUUAAGUAACACAAAGCGUGUUGCCUGAACACAGCAGACUCGGCGCGAUUCUCCUCUCCUCGUCGCCCCCUCUCCUAUAAAACUAAGAAUUGCCGCGACAAAAAUUGACCGUGUGAAAGGGGUCUUGUUUGUGUGGCGUAUGGGGGUAUUUGUGCAAAAUUGCGCAGUUGUUGUGCUAAAAUCAAAAUCAGUUUGAUAUUUUACACAAGUCUGAACUAUUGCACAAUGAAUUUGUGUGACGUAUGGCGAUAACAGCGCAAAUUUCAGUUCAGUUUUGGCACUGUGAUGUGAACAUACUACUGCGAAUAAUGUCAAAUACCACAGAAAAGUAUAAAACAUUGUGGACGGAGUCUUUUGUUUGUUAUGAAAAUCAAACUUUUCGAACUAACUAUAGGUCGGAGUUGAAGUACAAAAUCGAAUCAAAAAAAUUGAGUUUUAAAAUUCGUUAUCAAAAUAUACAAAGCACAUUCGCAAUCCGAGCACAUAUUUACGCGAGGAACGCCUACUUCAAAAUAAUUUUUGCGCAGUUUUAUUGUGUAGUAAUUCGCACAAUAUUGACUUGCACAAGUCUCGUUUUGUACAAUGCUUUUGUGUGGUGUAGGUACCCUAUUAAUCUUUUGGUUAAUACAUAUGUGCAAAAUUAGUUGCCAUGGAAAUAAUUUUUAUUUUUCGAGCAGUGGUGACUUACCGUCAGUAUUCACGAAAAAUAUAUUGAAUAUUUCUCAAAGAUUUACCCGUUGCGGACGGAGCGCUGCCACAUUGUGGGUACCAUAUAUGAGGAAUUUCGCAAAAAGGAGUUCUACCCGAAAAAACUUCGGACAGCCCUGGUUUGGGCUCGACCAUGGUUAUUUUUUCAAAGCGCGGAAAGGAGUUCCACAUAAUUGUAAACACAUAAACCUUUUCAGCUAUUAGUGUGUUAAGUGAUUUUUAAAAUAAGUAAUUUAUUUAUUUUCAAAUAAAUUUGAAUGUUAAUAGUGUAAGUUUUGAAUAUGUGAAGUGAAAAAUGUGAUAAAAUUGCGUUAAAGUGUGUGAAAUACUGUGUGUUACUUAUAGAAAAAUUUUGACUUUUAAAUACAAAUAUUUCAAAAACUAAGUC
Long non-coding RNA from Zeugodacus cucurbitae (melon fly), 1620 nucleotides. RefSeq lists it as uncharacterized. The record is from RefSeq and is a predicted model, not a curated record. The transcript has 2 exons. Lineage: Eukaryota; Metazoa; Arthropoda; Insecta; Diptera; Tephritidae.